UGCAGGAAGCGUGUAGGAAGUGUGGCGCCUCAGCCCACAAUCGUAAUCACCUUUAAUCUCUUGCUCAAAAUAACCCAAAGUCAAGGUUCCUUCACCUUCACCCUGACUCCACGUGUUCCAGGCCAGGCUCGGUCCUCACAGCCUCCUCUCCCCAGCACUCCCAGGGUGUCUUGCCCUGUGCUCUUGUCUCCGUGCAGCUGACCCCCAGUCUAUCUCAAGGCCCUCAGCUGCCCCCAACUUGAAGAUUCUCUCCCAUCGUGUCUAAGUGGCUGCUCCAAGAUCUUGUCCCUGCUGGCAUCUCCCUGCUCACCAUCCACCGCAUUCCUCCACUUAAAGUUGAUGCUGGAUCCUGGACUCCUCUCUUUCCUCCCCCCACACCUGGUCCAACUCCAGUUGCAUCUAAUCCACCUGCAGAAGCAUCCGGAAUCUCUCCACUCCCACCACGACCGCCCUGGUCCAAACUGCCCAAAUCCACUUCCGGCAGGGAUGAUGCCCUUGGCUCCACCUCAUCUCCUGGCACCCAAAAUCCACUCUCCCUCCACAGCCAGAGGGAGCCUUGCUAACUACCAAGGCAGUCCCGAGGCCCCACCCUCUGCGCAGCCCUGAGGGCAUCCAGUCCUCCGCGCAUGGCGGAGAAUCCAGCCUCCACACAUGAUCUCCAGGGCCUACCGGAUCAGCCUCCGCGCCUCCUCGCUCCCCGUCCCCGAUGCACACCCCCUUCCUGGCAGAAGACCCUGCACCAGCCACCCCUCCACCUGGGAAGCUCCGGCUCCCUCCUGUCGUUCAGUCCAAGAUGCAGCAGCAUCACCCCAAGAGCCCUCCCUGCUCUGUACCCCGAAUUCACUCUCAGCCCCCACCUAGUUUAAAUCCUGGCACUUCUCUCUCCCUGAUGUUGUGCUUGGUUAUUUACUUUUAAUUCAUGUUGCAGCUGCUCCUGCCACUGCAAGAGCAGGAGCUGUGUGUCCUGGUCACUGCUGUGGCAUCCCAGGGCCGGCGCGGUGCCCGGCAGCCAGCACUGGACAGACUCAGGCCACGUUGCACACGGACUGGGAUGCGCCAGCUCUGCUUCCUCUUCCGUC
Long non-coding RNA from Piliocolobus tephrosceles (Ugandan red Colobus), 1079 nucleotides. RefSeq lists it as uncharacterized. The transcript is spliced from 2 exons. Lineage: Eukaryota; Metazoa; Chordata; Mammalia; Primates; Cercopithecidae. The record is from RefSeq and is a predicted model, not a curated record.